UUGAUUUUAGUUAUUUGUGAACGUACUACGAACAACAAAAAAAUAUUAUAGUCAAAAAAAAAUUAAAUCA
This 70-nucleotide unclassified non-coding RNA is filed under the name soil metagenome. RNAcentral's name for it is "partial internal transcribed spacer 1". The record is from RNAcentral.